CCUACGGGUGGCAGCAGUGAGGAAUAUUGGUCAAUGGACGAGAGUCUGAACCAGCCAAGUAGCGUGAAGGAUGACUGCCCUAUGGGUUGUAAACUUCUUUUAUAUGGGAAUAAAAUGUUCCACGUGUGGGAUUUUGUAUGUACCAUAUGAAUAAGGAUCGGCUAACUUCGUGCCAGCAGCCGCGGUACUACGGAGGAUCCGAGCGUUAUCCGGGUUUAUUUGGUUUAAAGGGAGCGUAGGUGGAUUGUUAAGUCAGUUGGGAAAGUUUGCGGCAUAACCGUAAGAUUGCAGUUGAAGCUAGCAGUCUUGAGUACAGUAGAGGUGAGCGGAAUUCGUGGUGUAGCGGUGAAAUGCUUAGAUAUCACGAAGAACUCCGAUUGCGAAGGCAGUUCACUGGACUGCAACUGACACUGAGGCUCGAAAGUGUGGGUAUCAAACAGGAUUAGAUACCCGAGUAGUC
This 460-nucleotide ribosomal RNA is filed under the name uncultured bacterium. Its description in RNAcentral is "partial 16S ribosomal RNA". It matches the Rfam family "Bacterial small subunit ribosomal RNA", at positions 338 to 795 of the family's 1533-position model. The record is from RNAcentral.